Molecule: small RNA, 189 nt
Filed under: Marmota monax (woodchuck)
Lineage: Eukaryota; Metazoa; Chordata; Mammalia; Rodentia; Sciuridae
Source: RNAcentral
CAGUAAUCUAAACAGUGACAAAAGUAUAUUUGAUCUUUUAAGUAAGCAAGCUUCAGAUUUUAUUCCUAUAUUUGUGUAUAAGAACUUUAAUUGUGUGUGUGUGUGUGUGUGUGUGUGUGUGUGUGUUCUGUGGUACUGGGGAUUAAACCCAGGGCCUUGUGCAUGCAAGGCAAGCACUCUACCAACUGA